GUCUCUUCUGAGAUACUCGAGUGGCGAACGGGUGAUAACCGUGGGUGAUCUGCCCUGCACUUCGGGAUAAGCCUGGGAAACUGGGUCUAAUACCGGAAGGACCCCGGGUUGCAUGUCUUGUGGUGGAAAGCCCUUUAUCGGUGUGGGAUGAGCCCGCGGCCUAUCAACUUGUUGGUGGGGGGACGGCCUACCAAGGCCACAACGGGUACCCGGCCUUUUAGGGUGUCCGGGCACACUGGGACUGAAAUACGGCCCAAACUCCUACGGGAGGUUACUUGGGGAAUUUUGCACAAUGGGCGCAAGCCUGAUGCAGCGACGCCGCGUGGGGGAUGACGGCCUUCGGGUUGUAAACCUCUUUCACCAUCGAUGAAGGUCCUGGUUCUCUCGGAUUGACGGUAGGUGGAGAAGAAGCACCGGCCAACUACGUGCCAGCAGCCGCGGUAAUACGUAGGGUGCGAGCGUUGUCCGGAAUUACUGGGCGUAAAGAGCUCGUAGGUGGUUUGUCGCGUUAGUUCGUGAAAUCUCACGGCUUAACUGUGAGCGCGUGCGGGCGAUACGGGCAGACUAGAGUACUGCAGGGGACACUGGAAUUUCUGUUGUGGCGUUGGAAUGCCCCAGAUAUCAGGAGGAACACCGGUGGCGCAGGCGGGUCUCUGUGCAGUAGCUGACGCUGAGGAGCGAAAGCGUUGGGAGCUAACAAGAUUUAGAUACCCUGGUAGUCCACGCCGUAAACGGUGGGUACUAGGUGUGGGUUUCCUUCUCUUGGGAUCCGUGCCGUAGCUAACGCAUUAAGUACCCCGCCUGGGGAGUACGGCCGCAAGGCUAAAACUCAAAGGAAUUGACGGGGGCCCGCACAAGCGGCGGUGUUAGCAUGUGGAUUAAUUCGAUGCAACGCGAAGAACCUUACCUGGGUUUGACAUGCACAGGACGCGUCUAGAGAUAGGCGUUCCCUUGUGGCCUGUGGUGUUGCAGGUGGUGCAUGGCUGUCGUCAGCUCGUGUCGUGAGAUGUUGGGUUAAGUCCCGCAACGAGCGCAACCCUUGUCUCAUGUUGCCAGCACGUAAUGGUGGGGACUCGUGAGAGACUGCCGGGGUCAACUCGGAGGAAGGUGGGGAUGACGUCAAGUCAUCAUGCCCCU
Molecule: ribosomal RNA, 1137 nt
Filed under: Mycobacterium tuberculosis
Lineage: Bacteria; Bacillati; Actinomycetota; Actinomycetes; Mycobacteriales; Mycobacteriaceae
Description: bacterial SSU rRNA
Rfam family: Bacterial small subunit ribosomal RNA
Source: RNAcentral